This 249-nucleotide ribosomal RNA is filed under the name uncultured bacterium. RNAcentral's name for it is "partial 16S ribosomal RNA". It matches the Rfam family "Bacterial small subunit ribosomal RNA", at positions 524 to 771 of the family's 1533-position model. The record is from RNAcentral.
UACGAAGGGGGCUAGCGUUGUUCGGAAUUACUGGGCGUAAAGCGCACGUAGGCGGAUAUUUAAGUCAGGGGUGAAAUCCCAGAGCUCAACUCUGGAGCUGCCUUUGAUACUGGGUAUCUUGAGUAUGGAAGAGGUAAGUGGAAUUGCGAGUGUAGAGGUGAAAUUCGUAGAUAUUCGCAGGAACACCAGUGGCGAAGGGCGGCUUACUGGUCCAUACUGACGCUGAGGUGCGGAAAGCGUGGGGAGCAA